CAGGCUGCAACUCGCCUGCAUGAAGCUGGAAUUGCUAGUAAUCGCGGAUCAGCAAGCCGCGGUGAAUACGUUCCCGGGCCUUGUACACACCGCCCGUCACACCAUGAGAGUCGGGAACACCCGAAGUCCGUAGUCUAACCGCAAGGGGGGCGCGGCCGAAGGUGGGUCCGGUAAUUGGGGUGAAGUCGUAACAAGGUAGC
RNAcentral lists this ribosomal RNA (200 nucleotides) under uncultured bacterium. RNAcentral's name for it is "partial 16S ribosomal RNA". It matches the Rfam family "Bacterial small subunit ribosomal RNA", at positions 1301 to 1500 of the family's 1533-position model. The record is from RNAcentral.